CUUUCUGCCCCACUGGUUUCAUGGUCAGAUGUUCCAGUAAGAUAGGGGCUUCCCAAAAGCAGUGACUCCAUCCUCCCUGACCGAAACCUGCUGCUACAUACCCCAGCCCCAGUCACCCACCCCCACCAAUGGACUGGUGCUCUCCCACCUGCAAGACCCCUAUAUAAGCUUCCAGCUCAGCCCAUGCAGUUGCUGGUCUCCAUUCUGUCAGUCAGCCCAGCAGGCUGCAGACUGCCGCCCCAAUAAAGCUUGCCUGAACGUCCAUGUGUGCCCCCCCUUCUUCAGUGACCCUUACAUUCUGGUGCCAAAACCCAGGAGGCAGCGCUAUUGGGACCUGUGGGCUCACCCCACUGGGGUCCAGAACUGCACUCCCGAUGGCCCCUUCCCGGGCCUGCAGUUGCCGAACUGGGGCACACACCUCUGGGGCUUUCAGUCCUUUGCCAUUGCUGAUGCUGCAUCCAACACCAGCCUGAUUCUCUCAACAGUGUGGGAGGCCAGUCCCCUCCUCCCUUCCCAUGAGGGAAUCUGGUCCGUCUCUGCCUGACCUGUUGGGCCUAGCCUCAGAAGAGUGACGUUGCCCUGGGAUGUUGGCCCCUUCGCCCAUCACAUCAAAGGAGCCCAGGGUAACUAUCCACAUGGCAGGACCUACCCGGCUUAAACUGACCAGGAUUACAGAACAUCCUUCCCCCCACUGCUGAAACCUCACAAUAGGCUGUCAUACAUGAGGCUAAAUUUGGCCAUCAUGACCAUCGUUGCCGCUCCUAAAGAACUGGCACUCUGGGAGUUCCAUGUCCACCAAAAAUGGCAAUGUCUCUGAAAGCAUGGCUGACUGGGGCGUCACAGAGGCUCCCGUGCUGUGCCAACUUCCCAGCCAGCCCCCACUCCCCAAAAAAACUUCGUCCCUGAUCAGCAGGAAGUAGAUACGAAAGAAGAUACCGCUGCCCCAAUUUCAUAACAAAAUAAAGGCUGGGAUGUUAGGUAUUUCAGACCCCCCACAGAGCAAGCCCCCUCCCCUGCCUUCCCCUUGCCCUACUCCGGCCACAGGGAACAGGGAACUUCCGCAUAACUAAGGCUUGACCUACCUUUGUUUGUGACUCCCUGCCUAGUUAAGGUCUUUCUGCCCCACUGGUUUCAUGGUCAGAUGUUCCAGUAAGAUAGGGGCUUCCCAAAAGCAGUGACUCCAUCCUCCCUGACCGAAACCUGCUGCUACAUACCCCAGCCCCAGUCACCCACCCCCACCAAUGGACUGGUGCUCUCCCACCUGCAAGACCCCUAUAUAAGCUUCCAGCUCAGCCCAUGCAGUUGCUGGUCUCCAUUCUGUGAGUCAGCCCAGCAGGCUGCAGACUGCCGCCCCAAUACAGCUUGCUUGAACGUCCGUGUGUGCCCCCCUUCUUUGGCAACCCUUUUACCUAAUGCUUACACAAAAAAGGUAACCUGAUGUUGACCAAUCAGUUAUUUUCCCAUUGUUGUCUCUCUGUCCCUAAUUUGCAAGAAAAGAUCUUUGAAGUGAG
Molecule: long non-coding RNA, 1511 nt
Filed under: Heterocephalus glaber (naked mole-rat)
Lineage: Eukaryota; Metazoa; Chordata; Mammalia; Rodentia; Bathyergidae
Description: lncRNA (ENSHGLG00000042862.1)
Source: RNAcentral